UUUUUUCUGAUCCAGCACAAAUAUGAUACUAGAAUGCUUGGCCUUUUUGAUUUACUGUUUUCUCUCAUGAAUUGUGAUUCUGUAAUGAUUACUUCUAUGUGCUUAUGUAUGUGUGACACACGUACACACAUUUAUUUUUUCUAAGGUAAAUGAGAAUAAGAAAACCAAAUAGCUAAAGUUUUUUUUUUUAUCAUUUUAUACAGUAAAAAUAAACUCUCUGUGGGGUCUGGAUUGACCUAUCUAUAAAUAAAUUAACUGAGAUUUAAUGCCUGCUAAUUCUGUUACAUUCUUAAGCAGAACAGUUUCACUAAGACAGGUUCUGAAAGGUAUAGCUAACUCUGACUUAGACAUUGGUGUCCUAAUCCAGCAUCAAGGUAGUGUAAAACAAAUGCAAGAAAUGUGGGCUAGGCACUUAGAAUCAUAGCAGAAGCACAAUAAACAUUUGAAAUUUGUUGAAUGAAUAAAUGAAGGAAUAAAAUUUUAUGAACAGGAGAUGCUUUGUGAACUGAUAGAACCGAACCUAUCAAACUAGGAACUAGCUUAUUACACUUAAUUUAAGCAUAAAAACUUUUUUUUUCUUUUUAGUGCUGCACUUGAGGCAUAUGGAAGUUCCCAGGCUAGGGAUUGAAUCAGAGAGGCAGCAGCCGGCCUGCACCACAACCAUGGCAAUGCCAGAUCCAAGCUGCAUUUUAUACCUAUGCAGCAGCUUGCAGCAAUGCCAGAUCUUUAACCCACUAAGCCUGGCCAGGGAACCCACAUCCUCAUGGAUACCAGUUGGUUUCUUAACUUGCUGAGCCAUAAUGGGAACUCCCAAACAUAAAAACAUUUAAGCAUAAAAACACAUACCAUUAAUAAUAAUGAUCAUUAAAAUUAUGAAAUUGAUCCUCUGUUCUGCCACACUAGGCAGAUAACAGCAAAAUAAAACAAAACAAAAACAAAAUCUCUAACUAGUGUGACUAGCGGGAUAAUCUCUGUUUGGGUCUAGAUUUCUAUCAUGAUAGCAUUUAGCCUUAAAACUAAACACAGACUAUGUUACUGUAAGACUUUAAGUAUUUGUCACUAUUGAAAAACAAACUUGCAGUACAAAAAUUAUAAAUGUAAAAUUUACUGUUUAAAAUGGUCUUAAAUGAGUAAUUACUAUAAAUCUUCCCCACAAGUCAGUAUGUAAAUAUACACAAUUUCAGACUUAAUGGGUAUUUUAUGACUCAUAUGUCUUUCUUAUUCAUCAUCUAUCAGUAGCAGAAUUAAUUUUUUUCCAAGCCUUUAUUUUUAUUUCGAGGUCAAUCUCCGUCCUUACUAAUGAGUGUGCUCAGAGUGUCUUUGUGCAUGUACUUUACCAAUUUAUUUCCUUGGAAUGUGUACUUCCUCCACUAUAGUCUGCACAAUUCCAGCCAAUAUUUAUGGGGAUUUGCCAACAAAAGACUUGGUGUUCUCUAUUCUGACUAUUCCUUCCUUUCUCCAUAUUUUUUCCUUUGAUACCAUUCUUUCUAAUCCCUUGAUGGUGAGAACUGUAUUCUGCUCUUUUGAGAGAGAAGAAUGACAAUGAUUAAGGAAUAAUCUGAAUAUUACCUCUUCUUUAGUUUGAAAUGCAAGCGCUAAGAUUUUAUACUGAAGUUUAACUUAAAAUAGGGAGGGAGUUGUUCUGAUUAACCUUUUCACACUCAACGAAAUGUAGGCCAUGCAGUAGUAUAAUUACACCUAUGUGUGCAUAUAAAUAGUUUUUUUUCAAUUGACGUUUUAGAUUGAAAAAAAAAAUCUUUUCCAGUUUUCGCUGUGUUCUUAAUAUCUCUUUCAUAGCAUGUGGGCCUUUUAUAAACCUGAUGAAAAGGGAUCACGAUUGAAUAAGUUUAGGUAACACUGCUUAUUUAUCUUGUGUGGAAGAAUCACAAUUCACAAUCACAUAGUAAAACCUACAAGAAAGUCUGUAGUAAAGAAAUACAUUUAAAUUUUGUAUUCUACACUUUUUCAAACACUUUUUUAUUAUUUUUCUUUCAUUGGAAUAUUUUUCAAAUUCUCCAACUUUGGUGUUCUCUGUCAUUCAAAUCAGAGAACUUUAAAAAAAUUGUACUUUUUAGAUAACAAGGUGAUAACAACUCAAACCAUACAAAAAGUAUAAUUAUGAAAAUGUAUGCAACUUUAACACAGAGGCAUCAAGGAAACCAAAAUAAAAGGUAUACAGUAGUCCCUCACAAAUGGAAAACAAAAUGUAGCAAAGGGAUUUGCCAGGAUUGGAUACAGUGUGACAAAUGGGGAGUUCCCGUCGUGGCGCAGUGGUUAAGGAAUCCGACUAGGAACCAUGAGGUUGCGGGUUCGGUCCCUCGCCUUGCUCAGUGUGUCAAUGAUCCGCCGUUGCUGUGAGCUGUGGUGUAGGUUGCAGACAAGGCUCGGAUCCUGUGUUGCUGUGGCUCUGGCGUAGGCUGGCAGCUACAGCUCCGAUUAGACCCCUAGCCUGGGAACCUCCCAUAUGCCGGGGGAGUGGACCAUGAAAUGGCAAAAAGACCAAAAAAAAAAAAAAGACAAAUGGAAAUAACAUUAUUUAAAAAUGAGAUAUGAUAAUGCUUUGAAGUAAGACAUUGGCCCAUUAACAUGAUGUUAACCAACAUUUAAAAAUUGACUGAUAGAAGUGUGGAUCUAUGGAGAGAGAUAUAAAGAAGGAACAUAUUUCAAAGGAAAGAAAUUCUUAAAUGUAUUAUUUUAUUCAAGAGCUUGUUGGUAAAAUCACCCUAAAAUGUGCAUCUGAAAAUAACUAUUAAUCAACUCUGCCUUAUGUUAGUAAUUAGUUGUCUGUCUCUUCCUUUUGAAAUAAUCCAAGGGCAGAUUAUUUUUCUGUUUUAUUCUUAACCUUAUCCCUAGUGCCUAGUUUACUCAUAGCAGACAAAUGACUUAUAAUAAAUACUUGUUGAGUCAAUGAAUUAUUAUAAUAAGGUAACAAUAAUUUAUGGUUUACAGUCUGUAAACUUUUUUAACUUUUCUAACUCUUCUUAUUCUUUCUUUACCACAAGUACCUUGUGGACCCAGAGUUGUACCUAGUGAACUACAGAUUUGAGGCACUAUUUCUGAAACAAUCCUCUGAAAUCAUCAGCAUGAAAUUACCAUAACAGUUGUUAAAAAUCCUACUCCAUACCCACUAAAUCAGACUCUUUGGUAUGCAAGCCCAGGAAUAUGGAAAAAAAAAAGUACCCCUAAGUGACUUUUUGGAAAUAAAAAUUUGAGAACUACAGGCUCUAGCAACAUAGCAACAUAGCAGGACUUAGAAUUCCAUUAAUGUGUCUUUCUCCUACCUUUUGAGUAACAUAGUUGUCUUGUACUCACCACCGUCUUUUAGAGUAAUGAAAGAAUAGUGUUGGGCACUUAGGUCACACUUAGAAAAUACUGAUAGUGUGAUUAGUUAAUUGUGAAUCUAAAAUCAGACUCCUGAAUAAUUUUCAAUAAAAUCUCCUUUUGACAAAAAUGUAUAUAUAAAGUAGAUUAUCAAAAUAGUAUUAUUUUGUUAUAAUUCUAAUAUAGAGAGGUAUAUGCAAAAAUUAUUGACAUCAUUGUCAACUGCAUACACUGAGGCGCUUAUUGCUUCAAAUAUAUGCUAAAAUUAAAAAUAUUUAUAUGUAUUUGUACUGUUGUUAAUCUUUGAGUGUGUCUACCUGCAAUUAACUCUAGUAGAAAGGUGGCUAAGACUUGUUUCCCGAGAUAUAUACUUGUACUCUAUAUUUAUAUCCAUUGCUAUACCUCGGUAGUUUUAAUUUUCAUUGCGUAAAUAUUUUUAUACAGUGUGGAAGGUGGAGACCAUAAAAUAGCUUUGUGGUAUCCUGACCAUAUCUCCCUAAAGUACAGUAGUUGGAAUUCACAUCUUUGUCAUCUAAAAUCAGGAUUAUCACCUUCAGUACUAUUAAUAUUUUGAGCUAGAUAAUUCUUUUUUAAAAAAAUUAUUAAAAUAUAGAUGAUUUACAAUGUGCCAAUUUCUUAUGUACAGAAAAGUGACUCAGUCAUAUGUGUGUGUGUGUGUGUUUGUGUGUAUACAUUCUUUUUCUUAUAUUAUCUUCUAUCAUGGUCUAUCCCAGGAGAUUGGAUAUAGUUCUCUGUGCUGUAUACAGUAGGGCCUUAUUGUUUAUCCAGCUAAUUCUUAAUUUCUGCUGUACAGAAAAGUGACUCAGUCAUAUAUAUAUAUAUGUAUGUAUAUAUGUAUAUAUGUGCAUAUAUAUACAUGUAUUAUAUACACUUUCUUUUUCUUAUAUUAUCUGCUGUCAUGGUCUAUCCCAGGAGAUUGGAUAUAGUUCUCUCUGCUAUACAGUAGGACUUUAUUGUUUAUCCAGAUAAUUCUUUUUUGGAGGGAAUGUAAGGGACUGUCCUGUGCAUUGAAGGAUGCUUAGCAGCAUCCUCAACCUUUAUUCACUAGAUGCCAAUAGCACACCAGACCCCACAAGUUGUGACAAUCAAAGAUAUUCUCAGACAUUGUCCAGUGUCCUCUGGAGGGCAACUUCAUCCUUGUUGAAACCUACUGGUCUAAAAGGAUCUGGAGUUAUGUUUUUCCUAGGAUAUCAUCUUAAAUGACAUUAAACAAAGUGAUGGGAACUUAUGUCACCUCAUAUUCAUAAGCCUGAUUUGUUGAACCCAAAUUAUAUGUGCAUGAAGUUCCAGCAGCUGGGUUAGGUAUUAAUUUACUUGCUUCCACCUAUUAAGAAAGAUGAGAUCUAAAAUCAUAUCUUCAUAUCACAAAUUUAACUGCAGCAAUGGUUCUUAUCCUGUGUACACAUUUUGUGCUGUUAGCCAAAGCAGGUAAUGCAGCAAAAACUAGAGUUGUUCAUUAUCAUUAUGAAUGUUGAAGUGGUCUGAAUUAUACUACCCACACAUUAUUAAAUCUAAUUGUAUAAUAACUGACAAUGGCAAUAAGACAAUGGCUAUAAGCCAGCAGGUCCUUGGAAAAUUGUCAUACUGUGUGAUAAAGUUGGCCUCAAUACCCGAGGUUUACAGAUUAAUGAUAGAAGGGCACUUUUUAUAUUGUCAUAGGGCAAGAACCAUCGUUAAACAGAAUUGCAGUGCAAGUAAUACCAGUCACAAGUUCCUGGGAUGCAGCCAUGAUAUCAAAAUUGAAGCUAUGAAUGCCCCUAUAAAUGUUUCCAAAGGCUAUGUGCAGGAUGAUUAUGGUAGUAUAUUCUAACAGCUGCCAAAUAGUAAUCUCAAGUGUGAAAUCACUGUAUUUUAAAAAUAUCUUUAUGAAAUGAGGCUUAGCAUAGAAAUGCUAGGAAAGACAAACCAUCCUUAUCUGAUUUUUUAAAAUAAACUGACUAGUUCUUCUUUCAGUAUAAACAAUAUUGAGACUGUGAGGUUAAAUAUGACAACAACAAAAAGCAGUAUUUGACAAAAACAGAGAUAAUUGCUAAUUAUGGGCUAGUCUCUUUGUGCGUAUGAUACAAAAUAGCUGUUAAACCAACAGCUUAGAACAACAUAAUAUAUAAGCUGUUGGUUUGCAACUUAAUUUUUGGCUGAAAAAUUUUUAUAUGACAAUUUAUUUGAGAAUUUAUCUUGAUAGAAAUUUAUGUCUUUACUAAAAGUUGAAAAGUCAGAAAGUCAAAGUGAUAUACCUUAAUAGUAUAAUCAAAUAUUCAUAUAAAAAUUUCGCUGUGCCUCCCCUUCUAUACUAUAAAAAAAACUUUGAAAUUUUGUUGGAUAAUUUUAGGAAGUUAUUAACAUUUAUUAUCAUAAUGGAUGUUAAAAAGUAGGGAAAAGACACAGCAUACCAACAACAAUAACAACAACAACAAAAAAAGAGAUUUACAUUUAGAAAAUUGAGGUACACAUUUUGACUCCAUUCCUAAUUGUUUCAAUUAUGGCUUCCUUUUCUUCAUUUGUAAGACUAAGUUUUGUAUGGAAUAAAUAACAUGAUGCGUGCUUGUGAAGAACUUACUCCAAAGUCUGAUGUAUCAUAAACACACAGUUUAUGAUAAUUCCUUUUCUUCCUUCACUUCAAAUAUGAGGAUGCAGACCUGCUCUGUCUUGCUGUAUUUCAGUGGCCUGAAAACUGAUGUGGCAAGAACUUGCUGAGUGGUAUAGGUGUCUAUUACUGUAUUGGACAUGUAGGAGUACAAUAGUUAUGAUUAGCUAAUAAAUGAGUGCAUUUUGGCAAAAAAGACAAAAUAAUAAUAGUUACUUACUGAGCACAAACUAUGUGCCAGAAGUAUUCUGAGUCUUUUAGUAGGACUGUGUUAUUCAAAAUCCAAAAUAUUCCCUAUAGUAGGGACUUUUAUUAUUCUUUCACUAAUGAGGAAACUGAGGCAAAAUUUUAUCUAAUAUCUUGCAUCUGCUAUGUGGGAGCCUGAGAUUUAUACCAAGAUAAGAGAAUUACACUCUGUCUGCCAUGGUGUACUUCCUCUCCAUUCAAACUUUUACAAAGCUACAAUUCCUUCUGGUGUUUGUAAAAGAACAGUGCAAACAUAUUCAGUAUGAACUAUAUUUCAAAUAAGCC
This 6457-nucleotide long non-coding RNA is filed under the name Sus scrofa (pig). Its description in RNAcentral is "lncRNA (ENSSSCG00005022536.1)". Lineage: Eukaryota; Metazoa; Chordata; Mammalia; Artiodactyla; Suidae. The record is from RNAcentral.